GAUGAAGAACGUAGCGAAAUGCGAUAAGUAAUGUGAAUUGCAGAAUUCAGUGAAUCAUCGAAUCUUUGAACGCACCUUGCGCCCUUUGGCUAUUCUGAAGGGCAUGCCUGUUUGAGUAUCGUGAACACCUCAACUCUCAUGGUCUGCCAUGAUGAGCUUGGACUUUGGAGGUCUUGCUGGCCUACUGUCAGCUCCUCUCAAAUGAAUCAGCUUACCAGUGUUUGGUGGCACCACAGGUGUGAUAACUAUCUACGCUUGUGGUUUUCUGCCAGGUAACCUCCAGUGAUGGAGGUUCGCUGGAGCUCACAAAUGUCUCUCCUCAGCGAGGACAGCUUUUUGAACGUUUGAUCUCAAAUCAGGUAGGACUACCCGCUGAACUUAAGCAUAUCAAUAGCGGAGGA
Molecule: unclassified non-coding RNA, 401 nt
Filed under: soil metagenome
Description: partial contains 5.8S ribosomal RNA, internal transcribed spacer 2, and large subunit ribosomal RNA
Rfam family: 5.8S ribosomal RNA (bases 1-121)
Source: RNAcentral